RNAcentral lists this ribosomal RNA (460 nucleotides) under uncultured bacterium. RNAcentral describes it as "partial 16S ribosomal RNA". It matches the Rfam family "Bacterial small subunit ribosomal RNA", at positions 338 to 795 of the family's 1533-position model. The record is from RNAcentral.
CCUACGGGUGGCAGCAGUGAGGAAUAUUGCUCAAUGGGCGCUAGCCUGAACCAGCCAAGUAGCGUGAAUGAUGACUGCCCUAUGGGUUGUAAGCUUCUUUUAUGUGGGAAUAAAGUGCAGUGUGUAUACUGCUUUGCAUGUACCUUAUGAAUAAGGAACGGCUAACUCCGUGCCAGCAGCCGCGGUAAUACGGAGGGUCCGAGCGUUAUCCGGAUUUAUUGGGUUUAAAGGGAGCGUAGGCGGGUUGUUAAGUCAGUUGUGAAAGUUUGGGGCUCAACCUGAGAAUUGCAGUUGAUACUGGCAUCCUUGAGUACCGUAGAGGUAGGUGGAAUUCGAGGUGUAGCGGUGAAAUGCGUAGAUAUCACGAAGAAUGCCGAUGGCGAAGGCAGCCUCCUGGACUGAAACUGACGCUGAUGCUCGAAAGUGUGGGUAUCAAACAGGAUUAGAUACCCGAGUAGUC